Non-coding RNA from Rattus norvegicus (Norway rat), 8538 nucleotides. Lineage: Eukaryota; Metazoa; Chordata; Mammalia; Rodentia; Muridae. The record is from RefSeq and is a predicted model, not a curated record.
CAUAAGUGUGCAAAGACCAGCUCUAUGGAGCCAGGAGGGCCAGGCAGUGCAUAACACUGUGGGAGCUUUAGUCCCACUGAUCUUGAUGCAGCCUUGCCUUAUUUAAUGUGCAGUGUGCAAGGCCUGGCACCAUUGUGAUGUGAAGGGGCAAAGGAUGGCACAGCUAAGGCCAGCUGCUGGGAGGAUGCGGAGCCCCUCUGGGGACUUGACACAAGAGUUCUGGAGAGCAAGUAAAGGCCGAGAGUUCUGGAGAGCGAGUAAAGGCCGAGAGAAGGGAAGGUUGGGGAGGAGUCACAGCCUCCAAGGCAGGGAAAUUGGCUGGAAAGAGAGAAACGAGCUUCCUGUAUUGGAAGAAUUUGAAAGCAGAAAAAUGGCUGGUCUCAACAACAUGCAUCCCUAUUCCCGCAGGGGUCUGGUUUGUCUGCAUCCUUGUGGACUCCCAGAGGAUUGAACACUCUCUGCUACAGCCUGCAAUGAUUGUGGUGGCCGUGCAGUUUCUUCCGCACCAGCACCAGGGGGACAGUGAGCUCCUCGAGGGUAGGAGCCAAGGCUGUCUUGUUCCCCGGUCCCAGCAAUGCCUGGCUCCGAGAUGGAGAAUGCACAAUUUACUGAGCUGAAGAGUAAGGACUGGAGAAGUGACGAACACCGGAGGCAGCUAUGUGUCCAGACCACCGCACUGCAGAUGGGGAGGGGACAAGAAGCACCCUUCGCAGAUGUUCCUUGACCUCCACAGGUCUGACCUCCUGAGGCACUGCUCUCUCAUUUGCACAGAGAAGAGUUAUUUAUUUGGGGUGUGUGUGCCAAUUUGCUGGGGCCACAUACAUUAAUGUGCUAUGAGAUCACCCUGGGUGGGAAUUUGAUCAGUUCCAUAUUUUCUAGGAGGCUAACUCUCAGAUGUCUGUCUCUCCUGGCAGCCAUAAACCAUCCCUCCCAUAGCACUUAUAUUACUUGUGAGCAUUUAUGAGGAAUUAACAGUCAGUGAGUCCUUACACGUGGCUGCCAUUCCAGUGAACAACCACAUCCAUUUCCUUUGUUUUGAAACAUGCCUAAAGAAAAAAAUUUUUUUUUCUGGAAAAAUGUUUAUCUAAGUUUUUGUCAUUCAGACAUAUAUCUGCUCAGUUUUUCAGAGAUUUCUCUUGCCUCUCUUCUCCAAUGAAAGCUUUUGGUUCGAGCUAGAUCUGACAGGAUUCAAGCCACCAAGCCCCACGGUCCUUCAUGGAGGACUGGAUGGGGAUGGACAUCAGCGACAUUUGAGAGAAAUUUCUUCAUUAUCAACAAGAGAGUUUGUGUUGGGCAAAAGGGCAAGGGCAGGGCCAAGACUAGGUCCAAUGGCUGCAAUUACUUCAACUCCCAUGUGGAGUCCAACUUGAAACAGUCGGUAGUCAAGGCCUUUCCCUCCACACCUUGACUCCUGGGUUUUUUUCUCUAAGAGUUUCCUUGACCACUCUGCUCCUCUCUGUCCUGUAGGAGCCAUCAGUUGUAGCAUGGUGGUCUGCUGUCACGAGUCCUGUUGAUGGCGAUGAUGAUGGAGAUGACAAUGUCUGAGUGGUUCAGCGAAUGGGUGAUGGUAAGAGAGAGGCUGGGAGUAGAGAAAAUUAAACAUAUAAAGCUGAUCCUGAGAGGAGAAAGGGGAGAAAAAGCCAGAGAGCUGGACGCAGAAAAGCAGGCCAUGGGCUUGGGUGGUUCGUGUCUGUUGGUCAGAUGAGUAUUUAUAGUGGCUGUCUUGUGCUGGACAAGCCAGCAUGGGUCAGCAGGUGAUUUUGGCUGGUGACUCAUCCGUGAAGACAUCGUAAUAGUAAUAGACUGGCAACUGAUGCAGGGCAGUCGGUGAUAUGCCUUGGGGCAAUCAGCGGGGACCUCUCUGAGGAGGUGACAGUGGAACCCACAGUGGGUGUUGGGGUACUGCCGGUUUGGAGCAGAUCCAGUCUUUCCCAGUCAGCACGGCAAGCUGUCUGUGUGUCCCCGGUCUCCUUAUUUUGGAGGUCCAGCUCAGGCUGGGGCUCUUUAAAAAAGAAAGCGGAGUUCUUGCUUUGCCGACCCACUCUGCUCCAGCCUUUGGGGCUCCACUCUGAUCCUUUGUGUUUGCAGGGGAGAGCACUAGCAGCUCUAGGGUAUGUUGGGAGCAAGCACCCGGGGCCUAAAGAGAAACCCAGGGUCACCCUCUCUAAAACCAGGAAGUAGAAAAAACCCAGAAGGAAGGGAAAGGGGUGGGUGUGGGGGUGGAGCUGGAAGGAAGCAGAAGCCCAAAGCCGGUUUUGUUUUUCACGUGCACUCUUUGGCGGAAAUGAUUUAGAACAGACGGAAAGGUGACAAAUUUCAGAGAAAAAAAUCACAACUGACCCAGCCCCCUUCCCUAAGUUGUGCUGUAAAUAUUUGACUAUUUUGAGGUUCUGCUAAAAAUACCUGGGAGACUUUCUCUGUAGUAACUGAAACAAUAAAGACGAACGAGUUAAUUUGGUAAAGCUGAUUUGAAUUGCACAGAAGACAUUGCGCAAGGGCUUGGCGUUUAAACAGUUAUCUGACAUUUAAAAGGAGACGACUGUUAAUGAAUUCAAGAGCUAAUCUUAUUCUCUGACAGAAUGAGCCAUGGAAAAUCCAGGGUUAUUAUCUUGCUGUAAACACAAUGCGAUUCGGUUGAGCUAUCAACAGAAGGGAGCGCUCGGCUGAAUACAAAUGUCCACAGGCUCACGUGGGCUGAACUGAAAGGGGAUGUGCGUUAGAAUUAAGUAAAUAGCUUAUCAUUUCUUUAAGUACUCUCGGGUUGCAAUAUCUGAACUAUAGACUCCUCCUCCCUUGAGAUUCCUUGAAGCAUCACACGCUGCUCUACAAACAGACCUUGGGAUCUCUCACUUUAAAAUGACACUCUGAAUCCAAACAGCUACAGCUCCACCCACGAGUCCCACAGAGUCACCCAAGACAAGGAUCUGUCCUGCGGGGCCUCCUCCUGAUGUCUCCCACUCCUUUCUAAUUGGGGUUCCCCACCUUUGUAGCUGCCGCUUAAUGGCUCCAACAGGAGCUCCUGGCCCUCAUUAAGAAGGCUGCAACGCUCUGGCCGUCUAACCGCCUCACCUCCCACGCAGCUCACAGCUCCGUUCUGCCUAAGAGCCAGUUGCCAAAACUCUCUGGGAACCUGUGGGCAGGCUGAGCUUUGGGGAAAGAACAGGAGGAGGGGGAGAGAGCCUGGAAAGCCAAGACUUGAAGGGUGUUGGGGAACACACCCCACCUUUAUCUUAACGGGUGGGAGGAGGGAGCACAUGCCUUAGUUGAAACCCUGGGAGACCUUUAAGUUGUCCCAUCAAGCCUAUAUGCACCGGGGACAUUUGUCCCCUCCUGUGAGCAAACAAAAGCAAGAAUCCUGAUCACUAAGGCUCCAUGGCCUUAGCCUCCUAUGCUUUGGGAGCUUUGAACCUUUGGUGGGGAAGGGUGAUUCUGUCACUUGGUGUAGAGGAGAAGGGCUGGGAUUUGAACCUCCCUCCCCACAACUAAAUCCUGAAAGAGCCUGACCCGUCAGUUCCCUGAGUUUUGCCUUCUAAGGCCUAGUUGUUUCUUCCACUGGAAGCCUAGGACGGUAAAAUUCAGUAGCACCAGGAACAGGGGCGGGGCCGGGUUGUCCUAGGAACUUUGCAGGCUCCUGGUGAUUGGAUUCUUCCAAAGGAGAGGUCUGUGAUGGCUGCUGUCACUGCAGACACUGCCAACUACCUUCCGCCCAGCCACCCCCAAGUGCUCCUCUUACCUGUCUCUGUUCUGGUCUCCCUGCUUGGGAGAGCAGAGCAGUCUCAUGCACAGAAAGCCACAAAGGAUCAGCAAGAUCUUACCUCAAACUCAGUCUCCCAGGGGACAAAGGGUCUGCAGCCUACUGCUUGUUUCCAUCCAUCAUCCGUGUGCCCAGCAUCCUCACUGGGAUGUGACUCCAUCCCACUCAUCGCUGCCACCUGAGGUCCCACUGCUUUGUAAUGUGUGGGUGUAUGUAUGUAAGUGUAUGUGUAUGUAUGUGUAUGUAUAUGUGAGUAUAUGUAUAUGUAUGCAUAUGUGAAUGUAUGUAGUGCAUGUAUGUAUAUGUGUAUGUAUGUAUAUGUAUGCAUGUAAGUGUAUGUGUAUGUGAGUAUAUGUAAGUGUAUGUGUAUGUGUAUGUGAAUGUAUGUGUAUGUAUAUAUGUAUAUGUAACUGUAUGUAUAUGUAUGUAUGUUUAUGUAUAUAUAUGUGUAUGUAUGUAUAUGUAUGCAUGUAAGUGUAUGUAUGUAAGUGUAUGUGUAUGUGAGUAUAUAUAAGUGUAUGUAUAUAUGAAUGUAUGUAUGUGUAUGCAUGUGUAUGUAUGUUUAUGUAAGUAUAUGAAUGUAUAUGUAUGUGUGUAUGCAUGUGCCUGGCAACAUGUAGGGCAUGGGAUUUUUUUAGGAGCAGUGGGCAGGAUGGAAACAGUUGGCCUUUAGGCAUUAAAAGGGUUCCUUUUUCCCUUCUGUUAAGAAUUUUGGUCCCCAGCACUUUUUUCUGCCCUUCCUUUUUUGGAGAUGGGCUCUCAUAUAUCUCAAGCUGACUUUGAAUUCCCUUCAUAGCUGAGGGUGAACUUGAGUUUCUGCUUCUCUUACCUCUGCUUGCUGAGCGGGGAUUACAGGCGGGUGCCAGCCACCACGCCAGGUUCUGCAGUGGUAAGGAUUGAACCCAGGAUUUCAAGCACACUAGGCAAGCAAGACUCUAGCCCAAGCCCUUCACCUACUUUUCGUAUCUCAAGUCUAUAACAGUUGUUGGCAUUCUCCUCAGUGUUUAUGAAAUUCGCUCACUAGUACUAAGCCCUGGUCUAAGAAACAGAAAUCCAGCAGUUCUAGUCCUUACCUCUGUGAGGGCUAAUUUGGUGCUUUUUUUUUUUUUUUUUUUGGCUAAGUCCCCAAGCUUUCUGUGCCUCAGUUUCUCCACCUACAUAAAAGUGCUCACUUCAUUCUUCUCUAGAUUUUCAGUAAUGAACCACAGGGCACUUUAGCUCCAGGCCUUCCAUUAUCUGGAAGCAAAUCUUAUCCAGGAAUUCUAAUUGAUAUUGUCCUCAAUUUAAUUAAGUGCUUUGUUGACACAACACAAUCAUUGUUUAUCUGGCCUAGCUGGAGCUGGAGGAGAAACCUUUUGAGCCAAAAGAGAAAUCCGCUCUACCCCUGGAGGUGGAGCCCAGUGGUGUCUGUGAGGGGUGUCUAGGGGCGCUCAGGCAGGAACCUCUCUGGAAAUAGAAGGAUGAGGGAGGUGAAACUAGACACUACCUCCCUCCCCAACUCCAGUUCCUUCUAAGUCGGGGCUUAUGUCCCCAACUCGAUUUUACUGGUGUGACUUCUCCACUUUGACAAUUAACAGGGAACCUCAACUUGAUUCUACUUUAAAAGGGUCAUCUUAAAUCAGACACUAGAGAAACAAAGUUACCCAUGGUGCUUUGAGUCCUAGAUCAGGCCAUCAAAGCUUAUAAUUUAGAAAGGCUAUGAAGUUGAGCUAGUCCCAGUAAUGCUGGGACAGAAGGGGGCUGGAGGAAGAAAGCAAACCUGUCCUCACUGUCCUCUCUGCUCCACAGGCUCUAGCUUCUAAAUUGUCGUCAUCCCAACCCAACCCCCCCCCCCCAGCCUUUGCUCUGGUGUAGGGAGCCCAAAGUGUUUAUAGUCCCCAAACUCCCUGCCUCCUUCCUCCCCACAUAAGCUCCAAGUUUCUCUGGUAACAGCUUUCAAGGCAGACAACAGGGGAAUAGCAGUAGUUCUAUUCCUUUGAAAGGCCUCCUGUGCCUAGCGCUGUGCAAAUUCUACUGUUUCACAUAAUCCUUGUGGGACCCCAAAGGGGAAAUGCUCUUUUAUACAGAAGGAAACUGAAUCUCAGGUUAAGGAUACCUGCCUCAGACCACAGCGUCAGGAAGCAAGAAGAGGGGAUCUAAAUGGGCCCCUCAAUCUGCCAGGCCGCUGGGGGGAGGGGGCAGGCCACAUGUGAACAGGGCCCUGGUGGUCCUGACAUCCAUUUCCUUAUGUGUAAAAUGGAGACGAUAACUGCACCCACAAUGGAUUGAGGGAGAUAAUCCUAAGUCCUUCCCAUGAACCUGCACUCUAUUGGCUGCCAUCACUUAUUCAGAAAGAUCCCCUCAAGAUAAUGGGGAGCUAAUCGUUCAAAUUUGUGGGCGGGAGCAUGGAGGUUUGACGUGCUCUUCCCUUCACGUUACAUAUGUUUGAAAUCAUCCAUCAUAAAUAGAAAAAAGAACAAAGCCUUAAGUGGGCAAGUGUUAUGUGUCACCAACAACCAAGAGAUCAGUAAAUACGGAAUUAUUAGAACAAUGAUUGCCACAUAAAUCCAACACAUAAAACUUUGGUUUUGUAAUAAAAAUAAAAUGUAAACCCUUCUAGGAAAUUGUGUUUGAACUGUCUAGGGAUUUUGGGAGUGGACAGAUUUGGGUAGACUUGGGCCAGAAAGGAAUUUUGCUUAGGUUUUCAGAAAUCUUUGAAUCAAGUUUCACAACCAAAGAAAUAUUUAUAAAAAUGAAAGAAGUGGAGAGAGAGAGGGGAAGGAUGUUCCCCCCUCCUUUAACAGGAAAUAAAGAGAGGUAAUUGUUGGUAUCAACGCUAGAAUUCAUGUCUUCAUGAGGAUCUCUAAGGAGGACGCCAAGAGACAGCCCCAGACGUGCCCCUGACGAGGAGUUUUGCCAGAGUAGGAAGACCAAGUCCAAAUGGCCGCUGACAUUCUGUAGCACCGAAGGCUGUAGGAGGUGUGGGAGAACGGGACUCAACUUUGUAAUUGUUAUCAUGGAGGUAAAACGUGGUCACCUGGAAUCCACCUCAAAGGACUGUGGGCUUUACCUAUGAAUUAUGUAUUUCUACAGACUGCGAGUUUUCUAUGACACAAACUUUUUCAUGCUGAUGAAGUAUUUUCAGAGGCUUUCAUGUGAGUUGUGUGAGACAACAGAAUACGAAGAUAAACUAGGUUUAAAGCUUGGAAGCUUAGCUAAAACGUUAACCAGAAGACAAGUUAUGAGAUGGCUUAGUGGGGCCCCGAUAGAAAAGGUUUCUUUCAAACCUUUAUACAAAACACAGUGUGUCUACAGGAACACGUAUGACCUUAUUGUCCCGAAGGAGGAAGGCUAAUAAGAACUUCAAACAGGCCUGAAACAGAUGAGGCACAGUCUUAUUCGACCCAAAUCUCAUCACAGUCCGAAUGAGACAGGCUGCCUUUUGAAAUCCUCAAAUGAUAAACUUAAGACACAUAAGAGCAAAUGCAAAUUCAUGCUAUAGUAAACUCAUGAAACCUAAGCUAGCUAGGACAGGUGGAAAUAGAAAUGGCUCUGUGGCAUGAGGAAGAGGGGCGUCAGUCCAGUUUAAGAAGACUUUUAAGGCAUUGCCAAAGCUCUGAUCUCUACAAGGCAACAACAACAAAAUUCCAGAUCAAAACACCCGAGAAGCAGCGUGUGAGAAAGUGUCCUUCCCCUUCCUAGACUGCAGUUGGCUUGAGCAAGGGAAAUUGAGUAAGGAAAAGACUGGUGAAGCUAUCUAUCUAUCUAUCUAUCAUCCAUCUAUCAUCUAUUUAUCAUCUAUGUAUGUAUGUAUGUAUGUAUGUAUGUAUCUAUCAUCUAAGUAUGUAUGUGUGUGUAUGUAUGUAUGUAUGUAUGUAUGUAUGUAUGUAUCAUCCAUCUAUCUAUCAUCUAUGUGAAGCAGGGUCUUUCUGCAUAGCUCUGGCUGUUCUGAAACUCACUAUGUAGACAAAGCUGGAACUCCGCGAGAUCCACCUGCUUUGGCCUCUCUGGUGCUGGGCUUAGAGGUGUACAUCAUCGAGCCUGGCUUCUUUAUUUUAAAUAGACGGAUGCAGUUAUUCUUGGGAAAUCUAGCUAAGGUUUCAGUUUGUUCUUUGAUAUCCUACUGGCAACCUCUCUGGCUUCUCUGUGAACCAGAGCUUAGAGACUUAUGUGUCCCAUCUACAUAGAACUCAGUGGGCGAGAGAAGUUCAUACCUGAGAUGCAAACCUGAGAAUAAGAGACAAGCUCAUUGACUCUCUGAGUCUCGGAAGGAUAAAGUAUUGAGAGUGUUGAGGCCCUUUGAAGGCAAAUGCUGACGUCCCUAUUUAACUGCACAUCAGUCAGAUUAAUGCUCAUUUGUUAAAAGAACAGUUUUAGGAAACGUCGCUGCUGCUCAGCUGUGCAUGGGCUCCUGCUGGACAUUGCGACUCUGGGCUCAUUUUGUCUUCCCUCAGAUAUAAUGUAUACUUUAAAAAUUAUUUAGUUAGCUGGGUGUGGUAGCGAAUGCCUCUAAUCUCAGCACUUUGGGGACAAAGGCAGAUCUCUGUGAGUCAGAGUGCAUGCAGUGUUGUCCUCAUAGUGAGACCCUGUCCCCCCCCAAAAUUACACUUAUUUACUUAUUUAUUUUUUUUUAAUUUUUCCAUUCAGUGUGCUCAGUUUGGUUUUGAAGUAGAUAACUCCCCUGUUUCAGUCUCCAGCGUCCUGAUAGUACAUGGGCAUGUCACCACCAUCUUGAAAAUUAACAAACUCUUUACCUGUCCUUUUUCAUAGAAUAAAGAAGAAUGGGGGGGGGGGCUGGAGAGAUG